CCUACGGGUGGCAGCAGUGGGGAAUAUUGGGCAAUGGGCGCAAGCCUGACCCAGCAACGCCGCGUGAAGGAAGAAGGCUUUCGGGUUGUAAACUUCUUUUGUCAGGGACGAAGCAAGUGACGGUACCUGACGAAUAAGCCACGGCUAACUACGUGCCAGCAGCCGUGGUAAUACGUAGGUGGCAAGCGUUAUCCGGAUUUAUUGGGGGUAAAGGGCGUGUAGGCGGGAAUGCAAGUCAGAUGUGAAAACUAUGGGCUCAACCCAGAGCCUGCAUUUGAAACUGUAUUUCUGGAGUGCUGGAGAGGCAAUCGAAAGUCCGUGUGUAGCGGUGAAAUGCGUAGAUAUACGGAGGAACACCAGUGGCGAAGGCGGAUUGCUGGACAGUAACUGACGCUGAGGCGCGAAAGCGUGGGGAGCAAACAGGAUUAGAUACCCUUGUAGUC
This 443-nucleotide ribosomal RNA is filed under the name uncultured bacterium. RNAcentral describes it as "partial 16S ribosomal RNA". It matches the Rfam family "Bacterial small subunit ribosomal RNA", at positions 338 to 795 of the family's 1533-position model. The record is from RNAcentral.